GAUGAAGAACGCAGUGAAAUGCGAUAAGUAAUGUGAAUUGCAGAAUUCAGUGAAUCAUCGAAUCUUUGAACGCACAUUGCGCCCCUUGGUAUUCCGGGGGGCAUGCCUGUUCGAGCGUCAUUAUAACCCCUCAAGCUCAGCUUGGUGUUGGGGCCUGCCAACUGGCAGCCCUUAAAAUCAGUGGCGGCGCCAUCUGGCUCUAAGCGUAGUAAUUUCUCUCGCUAUAGGGUCCAGGUGGAUGCUGGCCAGCAACCCCCAAUUUUCUAUGGUUGACCUCGGAUCAGGUAGGGAUACCCGCUGAACUUAAGCAUAUCAAUAAGCGGAGGA
RNAcentral lists this unclassified non-coding RNA (327 nucleotides) under soil metagenome. Its description in RNAcentral is "partial contains 5.8S ribosomal RNA, internal transcribed spacer 2, and large subunit ribosomal RNA". The stretch from base 1 to 120 matches the Rfam family "5.8S ribosomal RNA", at positions 35 to 154 of the family's 154-position model. The record is from RNAcentral.